UGUGGUGUUGAACAUUUUUUC
Molecule: non-coding RNA, 21 nt
Filed under: Arabidopsis thaliana (thale cress)
Lineage: Eukaryota; Viridiplantae; Streptophyta; Magnoliopsida; Brassicales; Brassicaceae
Source: RNAcentral